UGGGCAACCUGCCCGCAAGACCGGGAUAACUCCGGGAAACCGGAGCUAAUACCGGAUAACACCGAAGACCGCAUGGUCUUCGGUUGAAAGGCGGCCUUUGGGCUGUCACUUGCGGAUGGGCCCGCGGCGCAUUAGCUAGUUGGUGAGGUAACGGCUCACCAAGGCGACGAUGCGUAGCCGGCCUGAGAGGGUGACCGGCCACACUGGGACUGAGACACGGCCCAGACUCCUACGGGAGGCAGCAGUAGGGAAUCUUCCGCAAUGGGCGAAAGCCUGACGGAGCGACGCCGCGUGAGCGAAGAAGGCCUUCGGGUCGUAAAGCUCUGUUGUGAGGGACGAAGGAGCGCCGUUCGAAGAGGGCGGCGCGGUGACGGUACCUCACGAGAAAGCCCCGGCUAACUACGUGCCAGCAGCCGCGGUAAUACGU
This 427-nucleotide ribosomal RNA is filed under the name Geobacillus stearothermophilus. Its description in RNAcentral is "bacterial SSU rRNA". It matches the Rfam family "Bacterial small subunit ribosomal RNA", at positions 118 to 528 of the family's 1533-position model. Lineage: Bacteria; Bacillati; Bacillota; Bacilli; Caryophanales; Anoxybacillaceae. The record is from RNAcentral.